CUACGGGUCGACCAGUGGGGAAUAUUGGGCAAUGGAGGAAACUCUGACCCAGCGACGCCGCGUGAGGGAUGAAGGCCUUCGGGUUGUAAACCUCUUUCAGCAGGGAAUAAGCGAAAGUGAAGGUACCUGCAGAAGAAGCACCGGCUAACUAUGUGCCAGCAGCCGCGGUAAUACAUAGGGUGCAAGCGUUGUCCGGAAUUAUUGGGCGUAAAGAGCUCGUAGGUGGUCGAUCACGUCGGAUGUGAAAUUCUGAGGCUUAACCUCGGACCUGCAUUCGAUACGGGUUGACUAGAGUGUGGUAGGGGAGACUGGAAUUCCUGGUGUAGCGGUGGAAUGCGCAGAUAUCAGGAGGAACACCGAUGGCGAAGGCAGGUCUCUGGGCCAUUACUGACACUGAGGAGCGAAAGCGUGGGGAGCGAACAGGAUUAGAUACCCGGGUAGUC
Molecule: ribosomal RNA, 443 nt
Filed under: uncultured bacterium
Lineage: Bacteria
Description: partial 16S ribosomal RNA
Rfam family: Bacterial small subunit ribosomal RNA
Source: RNAcentral